This 67-nucleotide transfer RNA is filed under the name Xiphorhynchus elegans (elegant woodcreeper). RNAcentral describes it as "tRNA-Cys". The record is from RNAcentral. Lineage: Eukaryota; Metazoa; Chordata; Aves; Passeriformes; Dendrocolaptidae.
GGCUCUGUAGUGAAGUUCAUGCUGAGUUGCAAGCUCGGUGAUGUGUAUUAAAUAUACGCCAGAGUCU